AUGCGUAGAUAUUAGGAGGAACACCAGUGGCGAAGGCGGCUGCCUGGACUGUAACUGACGCUGAGGCGCGAAAGCGUGGGGAGCAAACAGGAUUAGAUACCCUGGUAGUCCACGCCGUAAACGAUGGGUACUAGGUGUAGAGGGUAUCGACCCCUUCUGUGCCGGAGUUAACACAAUAAGUACCCCGCCUGGGGAGUACGACCGCAAGGUUGAAACUCAAAGGAAUUGAUGGGGGCCCGCACAAGCGGUGGAGCAUGUGGUUUAAUUCGACGCAACGCGAAGAACCUUACCAGGUUUUGACAUCCCCUGAUGACUCCAGAGAUGGAGAGUUCAAUCUUUGAUUGACAGGGAGACAGAUGGUGCAUGCUUGUUGUCAGCUCGUGUCGUGAGAUGUUGGGUUAAGUCCCGCAACGAGCGCAACCCUUAUUCUUAGUGGCCAGCAUGUCGGAUGGGCACUCUAGGGAGACUGACGGUGACAAACCGGAGGAAGUUGGGGAUUACGUCAAAUCAUAAUGCCCUUUAUGACCUGGACAAUAUACGUGCUACUAUGGCUUGUACAGAGGGUUGCGAAACCGUGAGGUGUAGCUAAUCCCGAAAAGCAGGUCUCAGUUCGGAUUGCAGCCUGCAACUCGCCUGCAUGAAGUAGGAAUCGAUAGUGAUCGCGGAUAAGCAUGCACCGGUGAAUACGUUCUCGGGCCUUGUACACACCGCCCGUCAC
RNAcentral lists this ribosomal RNA (718 nucleotides) under uncultured organism. RNAcentral describes it as "bacterial SSU rRNA". It matches the Rfam family "Bacterial small subunit ribosomal RNA", at positions 686 to 1400 of the family's 1533-position model. The record is from RNAcentral.